Molecule: ribosomal RNA, 1935 nt
Filed under: Salmonella enterica subsp. enterica serovar Stanley
Lineage: Bacteria; Pseudomonadati; Pseudomonadota; Gammaproteobacteria; Enterobacterales; Enterobacteriaceae
Description: partial 23S ribosomal RNA
Rfam family: Bacterial large subunit ribosomal RNA
Source: RNAcentral
CGCGCGAUACAGGGUGACAGCCCCGUACACAAAAGCGCAUGUGUUGUGAGCUCGAUGAGUAGGGCGGGACACGUGGUAUCCUGUCUGAAUAUGGGGGGACCAUCCUCCAAGGCUAAAUACUCCUGACUGACCGAUAGUGAACCAGUACCGUGAGGGAAAGGCGAAAAGAACCCCGGCGAGGGGAGUGAAAAAGAACCUGAAACCGUGUACGUACAAGCAGUGGGAGCACCCUUCGGGGUGUGACUGCGUACCUUUUGUAUAAUGGGUCAGCGACUUAUAUUCUGUAGCAAGGUUAACCGAAUAGGGGAGCCGGAGGGAAACCGAGUCUUAAUUGGGCGUUAAGUUGCAGGGUAUAGACCCGAAACCCGGUGAUCUAGCCAUGGGCAGGUUGAAGGUUGGGUAACACUAACUGGAGGACCGAACCGACUAAUGUUGAAAAAUUAGCGGAUGACCUGUGGCUGGGGGUGAAAGGCCAAUCAAACCGGGAGAUAGCUGGUUCUCCCCGAAAGCUAUUUAGGUAGCGCCUCGUGAAUUCAUCUCCGGGGGUAGAGCACUGUUUCGGCUAGGGGGCCAUCCCGGCUUACCAACCCGAUGCAAACUGCGAAUACCGGAGAAUGUUAUCACGGGAGACACACGGCGGGUGCUAACGUCCGUCGUGAAGAGGGAAACAACCCAGACCGCCAGCUAAGGUCCCAAAGUCAUGGUUAAGUGGGAAACGAUGUGGGAAGGCCCAGACAGCCAGGAUGUUGGCUUAGAAGCAGCCAUCAUUUAAAGAAAGCGUAAUAGCUCACUGGUCGAGUCGGCCUGCGCGGAAGAUGUAACGGGGCUAAACCAUGCACCGAAGCUGCGGCAGCGAACGUAUCACCCAAGACAACUUUACGGAGUUGACGAUUGACGGAGCGAAGCGACGUCAAAGCGUUCAUUAAAGUCGAGUUGGCUUAGGGAUACGUUCGUUGGGUAGGGGAGCGUUCUGUAAGCCGUUGAAGGUGGCCUGUGAGGGUUGCUGGAGGUAUCAGAAGUGCGAAUGCUGACAUAAGUAACGAUAAAGCGGGUGAAAAGCCCGCUCGCCGGAAGACCAAGGGUUCCUGUCCAACGUUAAUCGGGGCAGGGUGAGUCGACCCCUAAGGCGAGGCCGAAAGGCGUAGUCGAUGGGAAACGGGUUAAUAUUCCCGUACUUGGUGUUACUGCGAAGGGGGGACGGAGAAGGCUAUGUUGGCCGGGCGACGGUUGUCCCGGUUUAAGCGUGUAGGUGUGUGUUCCAGGUAAAUCCGGUUCACUUUAACACUGAGGCGUGACGACGAGGCACUACGGUGCUGAAGCAACAAAUGCCCUGCUUCCAGGAAAAGCCUCUAAGCAUCAGGUAACAUCAAAUCGUACCCCAAACCGACACAGGUGGUCAGGUAGAGAAUACCAAGGCGCUUGAGAGAACUCGGGUGAAGGAACUAGGCAAAAUGGUGCCGUAACUUCGGGAGAAGGCACGCUGACACGUAGGUGAAGUGAUUUACUCAUGGAGCUGAAGUCAGUCGAAGAUACCAGCUGGCUGCAACUGUUUAUUAAAAACACAGCACUGUGCAAACACGAAAGUGGACGUAUACGGUGUGACGCCUGCCCGGUGCCGGAAGGUUAAUUGAUGGGGUCAGCGCAAGCGAAGCUCCUGAUCGAAGCCCCGGUAAACGGCGGCCGUAACUAUAACGGUCCUAAGGUAGCGAAAUUCCUUGUCGGGUAAGUUCCGACCUGCACGAAUGGCGUAAUGAUGGCCAGGCUGUCUCCACCCGAGACUCAGUGAAAUUGAACUCGCUGUGAAGAUGCAGUGUACCCGCGGCAAGACGGAAAGACCCCGUGAACCUUUACUAUAGCUUGACACUGAACAUUGAGCCUUGAUGUGUAGGAUAGGUGGGAGGCUUUGAAGCGUGGACGCCAGUCUGCGUGGAGCCG